CGCGUAGGCGGAUAAUUAAGUUAGAUGUGAAAUCCCUGGGCUUAACCUGGGAACUGCAUUUAAUACUGGUUGUCUAGAGUAGAGUAGAGGGAAGUGGAAUUUCCGGUGUAGCGGUGAAAUGCGUAGAUAUCGGAAAGAACAUCAGUGGCGAAGGCGGCUUUCUGGACUCAUACUGACGCUGAGGCGCGAAAGCGUGGGGAGCAAACAGGAUUAGAUACCCUGGUAGUCCACGCUGUAAACGAUGAAAACUAGAUGUUGGCGGGUUAAACCUGUCAGUAUCGAAGCAAACGCGAUAAGUUUUCCGCCUGGGGAGUACGGCCGCAAGGUUAAA
RNAcentral lists this ribosomal RNA (331 nucleotides) under uncultured Pseudomonadota bacterium. Its description in RNAcentral is "bacterial SSU rRNA". It matches the Rfam family "Bacterial small subunit ribosomal RNA", at positions 568 to 898 of the family's 1533-position model. Lineage: Bacteria; Pseudomonadati; Pseudomonadota. The record is from RNAcentral.